GAUGAACGCUGGCGGCGUGCCUAAUACAUGCAAGUCGAGCGAACGGACGAGGAGCUUGCUUCUCUGAUGUUAGCGGCGGACGGGUGAGUCACACGUGGAUAACCUACCUAUAAGACUGGGAUAACUUCGGGAAACCGGAGCUAAUACCGGAUGAUAUUUUGAACCGCAUGGUUCAAGAGUGAAAGACGGUCUUGCUGUCACUUAUAGAUGGAUCCGCGCUCCAUUAGCUAGUUGGUAAGGUAACGGCUUACCAAGGCAACGAUGCAUAGCCGACCUGAGAGGGUGAUCGGCCACACUGGAACUGAGACACGGUCCAGACUCCUACGGGAGGCAGCAGUAGGGAAGCGUCCGCAAUUGGCGAAAGCGUGACGGAGCAACGCCGCGUGAGUGAUGAAGGUCUUCGGAUCGUAAAACUCUGUUAUUAGGGAAGAACAGAUGUGUAAGUAACUGUGCACGUCUUGACGGUACCUAAUCAGAAAGCCACGGCUAACUACGUG
RNAcentral lists this ribosomal RNA (497 nucleotides) under uncultured bacterium. RNAcentral's name for it is "partial 16S ribosomal RNA". It matches the Rfam family "Bacterial small subunit ribosomal RNA", at positions 28 to 507 of the family's 1533-position model. The record is from RNAcentral.